RNAcentral lists this ribosomal RNA (229 nucleotides) under uncultured bacterium. RNAcentral describes it as "partial 16S ribosomal RNA". It matches the Rfam family "Bacterial small subunit ribosomal RNA", at positions 15 to 235 of the family's 1533-position model. The record is from RNAcentral.
GAUCCUGGCUCAGGAUGAACGCUAGCUACAGGCUUAACACAUGCAAGUCGAGGGGCAGCAUGGUCUUAGCUUGCUAAGGCUGAUGGCGACCGGCGCACGGGUGAGUAACACGUAUCCAACCUGCCGUCUACUCUUGGCCAGCCUUCUGAAAGGAAGAUUAAUACCUGAUGGUAUCUUAAGCACACAUGUAAUUAAGAUUAAAGAUUUAUCGGUGUACGAUGGGGAUGCG